AUAAGCAAACCCAGAGUCUCCCAAGUAAUACUAGCUAAAUCUCCUAUUUCUUCGAGUAAAGGAGUCAUUUCAAGGUCCCCGAAGUGAAAUACAGUCUGGUCGUUAUCCCAUAGCAGUGUUGCAACCUCUAUGAUUUUGUUGUCAGGCUAGAUUUCUAGAAGACAAGGCAAAUUCACUAAGUAUUUGCGGACGAGCGUCUGAUCACUUGAGUGGAGGUCUUUCCACCAAUUUAGCAGCCUUGGAUGAAUGCUUGUUACCGUGCCAACUGGGGACUUCGUGCCUCAUUUUCUGGCAAACAGGGUUUUAGGACCUUACGCCACCAGACUUGACUAUUUAAACCAAUAAUUAGCAUAGCAAGCAUUUAGUUCUCCAAAUAAAUGCACAUAACAUGGUGGUGUCAAAUUGUGUUUCGAGGAAACCGGUGGACUUUGGACAAGUCUAUCUUAAUGAGUCAUUAUGUGGACAAUAUAAUUGACUCGGCUAGGCUUGACCAUGAUGCAUAUAUAGUUAAACAGAAUAAGGUUUCUAUUGGGGUAUUAGACAGGUACCCUUGAGCGAACAACUCAAGUGGGAAAGGCACAGAACCGUCAACUACACCGCUGAUCGACUGGUUUUACCGCAAAUACGCUUUUGCCAAAUUUAAAGGUGAUAAUAUUGGAAUAGCCCAACCACUAAUUAUAAGUGUUGCUAUCGUGUUUGUUUGGGAACGAGUGGAAUAUUAUGUUGAAGAUGCAGUUUACAAGAAUGAAACAAAUUGACAUGUAUUUCCACAUUCAUAAAACAAAUGAUUACAAUAAUUGCUCGUAAUUACAAAAGUAUUGAAAUAAAGCAGUAAAGGAAAGCAGUUAAAGGAAAGAAAAGACAUGAAGAUCCAAGUUAGUUUUGUAGUAAAGGAAAAAAAGACAGUAAGUAAAUGCAAUUUAAAAAUAAUAAAGCCACAAGUAGCAUGCAAUGGUAAAAGCCUAAAGAAAUCCCCAUCAGAGUCGCCAUGCUGUCGACGCCACCUUUUUCUUUAUUGAAAUCGGGUAUACGACAUUUGAGAGGACAACUUUAUUCCCUUUCGAGAAUUGGGUUUAGGAGUUGAAGAGUCUCCCCCUAAUGAUUAUAGUGCAUUAGGACACUUUUAGAAGAGCUUGAGAUGAAGAGGCCAAAGAUUAGGGUAAGGGAUAGAAAUUAUCCCAAGGGGAAGGUGUUAGGCACCCCUUAGGAUCCACAAGUGUUGUUCCUGGCCAAGCUACAAUUGUGACUUUAGGAAGACAAGUAAAAAAAUAAAUCAAAGGGUUUUAUAUAGUUUUGCAAACAAGUUUAAGAGUUGAAGAGAUAGAGAAGUUAGAAAAAUCAAUUUUAAAAGAAAACUUGAAAAAUUAACAAGCAAAGGGAAAAAGUUCCUAGGUUUACAAAUAAAAUGGAUCACGUCAAUGAAAUAUCAUGAAAUUGCUCCUUAGAAGAGGGGCCGCACAUGAUAUUGGCGCAUCGAUCAACAUAUUCAUAUUCUACCCCUCCCACUCCGUUAAGGUAUUAAAGCACGAAAAUUUUCGUUUCUUAUUGCAUGUUAGUACCCAUCCUAAUCCUAUCAGUCCCGGAGGCGUUUAGGACUACUAAUUCUAAAGGGAAAGGGAUUUCGGUCCUUUUGAGAGUUUCAAAGGAUAAAAUACUAUGGCUUCAAUUAAAAACACAAAAUGCAACAAAAGGGGAAAAUAGAUAAGCAAGUAAGGCUCACAUAAACCUCCUUAAACCAGACAAAUCAUGUAGUUUACCAUGUCUUGCAAGUACUCAUUUGAUCUUAAAUUAAAGCGACGAUCGGACUGGUUUAACAUAUACUUUUAGACUGGAAUUCCGCAUUAGGCUCACUUGAAUGCAGUUGUCAAAGAUUUAUCCACUUUAAUUAACAUGCUUUUAUCUAAGUGGGACAAAACUAAUGAUUGUAAAAAUUUGCAGAAUAAGAGAAGUUUCAUAAAAAAAAUCACAGACUUAACACAGGAAAAAGGUUUUUAACGAGUUUUAGAAAAAAACAUACUAUUUAAGAAAAGAGUUGCCGAGUUUUAAUCAAAGGAAUGAAUUGCAGACUGAUUCAGAAAGAAAGAGCUUAUAAGUACUGAAAUGAGAUUGAUUUGAAAAUGCUUGUCAAGUUAUCAGAAAAGAAGUGAGUUUUCACAAAAUAUGCACCAAAUUAAUUAUGAGGCAGUUUUAGAAAGUUCAGAAAGUGUGUAUAAUUGUUUGUUUUGGUAAAGAAAAGUGGUACUGUUUAAGACGAGUAAGUUAGUUCUUAUUUGAAGUUCCUAUAGGCAUGAUCUCUACGAGUUACUGAUUUUAAUACCUUUCAACAGCCUUAUUAACACGAUAUCUAUGUGUUUAUUUAUCAUUAAACCUAAUGGUUUGCAUAAUGACAUUAUAAAUGCAGAAAUGCAAAUCCCUAUUGGCAUGGUAUCUAUAUGCACAGUUGCAGAAAUUAAAGUUAGAUCCUAUAGGCAUGAUUUCUACUUGUAAAAUGCAUAGAUUACCAGUAAAGGUCCUAUACGAAUGGUUUCUACCAUUUUUUGUGCAUGAAAGUAAAUCCCACCCCUUUUACUAGUUUCCCCGAGUUUAUAAAAAUUAUUAAAGACCCGUAAAAAUAAGACAGAAAUUAAAAUACAUCAGAAGUUACAGUUGCAUCCAAGGAACUUAAUGCAAACUUAAUAUCUAAUAUGAGAUUGAACCACUUCCGAGAUCCAGAUUUCCAAAGCCUUCUCUUUAUCCAGUCUGUUUCAAAGUUCCAAGGAAUUUCAAGAAUUCCAGGCAUUGCUUACACCUAUGAUACCAAUCAGAAUGAGUUGUAGUGCAGUGUGGAAGAGCCACCUCUCAGGUGUCCAAGUUCAGAGGGAGGUCAUGAGUCCCAAAGCAUGGCUCACAAGAGAGGGGAAGAACUUAAUGUUAUAAGAAUGAGUGUAAGUGCAAAAGGUGUUGGGGAAUGCCAUAAAAAGUUAGUUGUCAUGCCCAGCCACAAAGUAGGCUGGCACACCCCUGACCAAAACAUGUCCAGCCACACAAAUAAGAGCACAACCCUAUUGAAGGUCAAACUAUGGUCUAGACAAUGAUUAUGACACUGCCAGACCAAGGUCUUAGGCUCGGAGUGCACAUAAGAGGAAAGUAAUCCAGUCCAUAUACAUGAACAAGAAUGUCAAAUGUUGUAAUGCUUUCAUAACCAUGACUCAACAUAUAAAGGAGUUUAGGGAUGGGGAGUUCAUAUAAGAUAAGGAAGAACAAAUUGCAGAAAGUAAUAGAAGCAAACACAUAGAGAACUGAAUCAUAAUCACAUAGAAGAGAGGCAGUAUUAAACUAAAAGAGGCAUGCCAGUUUCAAAAGUAAAUAUAAAGAGAAGCAGAACACUUGCAGCCACAACACAAAGAAAGCUAACUUGUAAUUUUAGAGAAAACUUGAAUGCUUUUUGAGAGAACUUAAGAGUGUAUGAGAGAAGAAGUAGUGAGUAUAUGUGUGAGUUCGUUAGAACUUGUCUUGUUUGAAAGAGAAGAAUGUAGGUAUUUAUAGCUUUGAAAACGUGUAGAGAGUAAGGUAGUAAGUAAAAUUUAAACACAAAUAUGGAAACAAUCACAAGUUAGAAUCAAUUAACCCAAGUGAUUCCCCUUUAAUUAAGGAAACACUGCUU
This 3643-nucleotide long non-coding RNA is filed under the name Nicotiana benthamiana. Its description in RNAcentral is "long non-coding RNA (NBEN_LNC028416)". Lineage: Eukaryota; Viridiplantae; Streptophyta; Magnoliopsida; Solanales; Solanaceae. The record is from RNAcentral.